RNAcentral lists this long non-coding RNA (431 nucleotides) under Erythranthe guttata (spotted monkey flower). RNAcentral's name for it is "long non-coding RNA (EGUT_LNC000147)". Lineage: Eukaryota; Viridiplantae; Streptophyta; Magnoliopsida; Lamiales; Phrymaceae. The record is from RNAcentral.
GAAACUCAAUCGGCUGAAAAAGAAAACGAAUUUGAAGAAUCUCUUCAACAUCCCAAGAAUUCCCAAACCUAAUUUUCACUCUUCUCUUCAAUUUCUUCAACAAUCCUCACAAUAUCUCAACUCUAAUAUUUAAUUUCAAUUCAUUCUUGCGUUUUGUUUGAGAUUCAACACCAAUUCAAGGGCAAUUUUGACUGGGUUUUGCACAAUUGGGACGGGCUUGCGAUCUACAACCUUAUUUCUUCAAAAUUUCGUUUAAUCAGGUCUGAGUUUGUUCGUUUUUUGUCAUGGGUAUGUUCAAUUUGAGGUGGGCUCGUUGAUUUGUGGUGAUUGGUUGAAAUUUCAGAUUAGUUGGGGGGUGCUGUGCUAUUUUCAGCAUUGGUUGGCGUGUUUAUGCAACUUUCAGCAUUGGUUGGGGUGUUUCUGCAUCUUUC